AGCGAACGCUGGCGGCAGGCUUAACACAUGCAAGUCGAACGGGCAUAGCAAUAUGUCAGUGGCAGACGGGUGAGUAACGCGUGGGAACGUACCUUUUGGUUCGGAACAACACAGGGAAACUUGUGCUAAUACCGGAUAAGCCCUUACGGGGAAAGAUUUAUCGCCGAAAGAUCGGCCCGCGUCUGAUUAGCUAGUUGGUAGGGUAAUGGCCUACCAAGGCGACGAUCAGUAGCUGGUCUGAGAGGAUGAUCAGCCACAUUGGGACUGAGACACGGCCCAAACUCCUACGGGAGGCAGCAGUGGGGAAUAUUGGACAAUGGGCGAAAGCCUGAUCCAGCCAUGCCGCGUGAGUGAUGAAGGCCCUAGGGUUGUAAAGCUCUUUUGUGCGGGAAGAUAAUGACGGUACCGAAAGAAUAAGCCCCGGCUAACUUCGUG
Molecule: ribosomal RNA, 435 nt
Filed under: uncultured bacterium
Lineage: Bacteria
Description: partial 16S ribosomal RNA
Rfam family: Bacterial small subunit ribosomal RNA
Source: RNAcentral